GCUGGAAUGGUCUAGUUGGUUAUGAUGACUGCCUAACACGCAGUAGAUCCCGAGUUCGACUCUCGGUCCCAGUA
RNAcentral lists this transfer RNA (74 nucleotides) under Perkinsus olseni. RNAcentral's name for it is "tRNA-Val". Lineage: Eukaryota; Perkinsozoa; Perkinsida; Perkinsidae. The record is from RNAcentral.